UGAUCCAGACUUUGAUCAUGGCUCAGGACGAACGCUGGCGGCGUGCUUAACACAUGCAAGUCGAACGGAGAACUUAUUUCGGUAAGUUCUUAGUGGCGAACGGGUGAGUAACGCGUGGGCAACCUGCCCUCCAGUUGGGGACAACAUUCCGAAAGGGAUGCUAAUACCGAAUGUGCUCCCUCCUCCGCAUGGAGGAGGGAGGAAAGAUGGCCUCUGCUUGCAAGCUAUCGCUGGAAGAUGGGCCCGCGUCUGAUUAGCUAGUUGGUGGGGUAACGGCUCACCAAGGCGAUGAUCAGUAGCCGGUCUGAGAGGAUGAACGGCCACAUUGGGACUGAGACACGGCCCAAACUCCUACGGGAGGCAGCAGUGGGGAAUCUUCCGCAAUGGACGAAAGUCUGACGGAGCAACGCCGCGUGAGUGAUGAAGGUCUUCGGAUUGUAAAACUCUGUUGUUAGGGACGAAAGCACCGUGUUCGAACAGGUCAUGGUGUUGACGGUACCUAACGAGGAAGCCACGGCUAACUACGUGCCAGCAGCCGCGGUAAUACGUAGGUGGCAAGCGUUGUCCGGAAUUAUUGGGCGUAAAGAGCAUGUAGGCGGGCUUUUAAGUCUGACGUGAAAAUGCGGGGCUUAACCCCGUAUGGCGUUGGAUACUGGAAGUCUUGAGUGCAGGAGAGGAAAGGGGAAUUCCCAGUGUAGCGGUGAAAUGCGUAGAUAUUGGGAGGAACACCAGUGGCGAAGGCGCCUUUCUGGACUGUGUCUGACGCUGAGAUGCGAAAGCCAGGGUAGCAAACGGGAUUAGAUACCCCGGUAGUCCUGGCCGUAAACGAUGGAUACUAGGUGUAGGAGGUAUCGACCCCUUCUGUGCCGGAGUUAACGCAAUAAGUAUCCCGCCUGGGGACUACGAUCGCAAGAUUGCAACUCAAAUGAAUUGACGGA
Molecule: ribosomal RNA, 938 nt
Filed under: uncultured Bacillota bacterium
Lineage: Bacteria; Bacillati; Bacillota
Description: bacterial SSU rRNA
Rfam family: Bacterial small subunit ribosomal RNA
Source: RNAcentral